UUUUUUUGCACCGAAUGUGAUGACUUUAUUGAUGGUACACAAGAUAGGACUCUAUGCUCAUCCCCCUCACUACAGGGGUGCUUCGGGGCAGGGAUGUGAAAGGGACAUGGGCUCCCUGGCAUAGGAGACAUAGGUUGUUAUGGAUGUGAGCUCCCUAGUGGUGGAACUACUCUUUUUUGGCUGGGGAUGAAGAUCCACGGCUUUCCACUUUACUCCUUGGUGGCCAUGCUUCACCACCUUCUUGGUGACAUCGUAUUUGGCAGCUUUCUCCAGGCGGCAAGUCAGAUCCACCACGGACACAUUGGGAGUGGGAACACGGAAGGCCAUGCCUGUGAGCUUCCUGUUCAGCUCAGGUAUAACCUUGCCCACAGCCCUGACGGCACCGGUGGAAGCAGGGAUGAUAUUUUGGGCAGCCCCACGCCCAUCACACCACAGCUUGCUAGAGGGGCCAUCUACUGGCUUCUGGGUAGUGGUAAUGGCAUGGACUGUGGUCAUGAGUCCUUCCACAAUGCUGAGGUUGUCGUGAAUGACCUUGACCAGGGGGGCCAAGCAGUUGGUAGUGCAGGAGGCAUUAUUGACGAUCUUGAGGGAGUUAUUGUAUUUCUUAUGGUUCAACCCCAUCAGGAACAUUGGAGCAUCAGCAGAGGGGGUAGAGAUAAUGACGCAGUUGGCUCCAUCCUUCAUGUGAGCCCCAGCCUUUUCCAUGGUGGUAAAGACGCCAUUGGACUCCACGAUGUACUGGGCUCCAGAAUAUCCCCAUUUAAUGUUGGGAGGAUCCCGCUCCUGGAAGAUGGUAAUGGGUUUUCCAUUGGUCACCAGCUUUCCAUUCUCUGCCUUUAUAGUGCCCUUGAAUUUGCCAUGGGUGGAAUCAUACUGGAACAUGUAAACCAUGUAGGCAAGGUCAAUGAAGGGGUCAUUGAUGGCCACAAUAUCUACUCCACUGGAGCUGAAUGUUGCCCUGGUCACCAGGCAUCCAAUACAGCCAAAUCUAUUGACUCUGACCUUCACCAUCUUGUCUAAGGGAUGUGACUGCAGCAGAGGAUCCUGGCAAUGAGCUUAGGACAAGAGCUGAGAGCCUGCAUAUAUAUUUUUAAAUAGUCAGUUUAACAUUUAACACUAUGAAAGUAAUUAUAUAGCAUUGAAACUUAUUUGGGGAUUUUCUCAAUUGGACUGUGACAAAUACCUAAACAACCUGCUCCAUGAUGAAUUUCAUGCAAAUAACAAUCUUUUUUUCCAUUAGAUAACUUACUGCACCAUUCUUAUCUCAAGAUUAUUGUAUAUAAAAUAAAUCCCUGGAAUUGAAUAUUUUCCUAUCUUUA
Molecule: long non-coding RNA, 1319 nt
Filed under: Monodelphis domestica (gray short-tailed opossum)
Lineage: Eukaryota; Metazoa; Chordata; Mammalia; Didelphimorphia; Didelphidae
Description: lncRNA (ENSMODG00000007119.2)
Source: RNAcentral